RNAcentral lists this ribosomal RNA (442 nucleotides) under uncultured bacterium. RNAcentral describes it as "bacterial SSU rRNA". It matches the Rfam family "Bacterial small subunit ribosomal RNA", at positions 355 to 809 of the family's 1533-position model. The record is from RNAcentral.
UCAAGAAACUUCCACAAUGGGCGAAAGCCUGGUGGAGCGACGUCGCGUGAUGGACGAAGUGCUUCGGCACGUAAACAUCUUUUAUGUGGGAUGAAAUUAUUGACAGUACCACAUGAAUAAGGGGCUCCUAACUCUGUGCCAGCAGGAGCGGUAAUACAGAGGCCCCAAGCGUUAUCCGGAAUCACUGGGCGUAAAGGGUGUCGAGGCGGUUGUAUUAGUCGUUCGUAAAAUCUACGAGCUUAACUUGUAGGCGGCGAACGAAACGGUACGACUUGAGGUUUGGAGAGGUGCGUGGAACUCACGGUGUAGGGGUGAAAUCCGUUGAUAUCGUGGGGAACACCAAAGGCGAAGGCAGCGCACUGGCCAAAAUCUGACGCUCACACACGAAAGCUAGGGUAGCGAAGAGGAUUAGAUACCCCCUGAGCGGGCUGGCAAGGCGCAU